Non-coding RNA from Pararhizobium polonicum, 194 nucleotides. Lineage: Bacteria; Pseudomonadati; Pseudomonadota; Alphaproteobacteria; Hyphomicrobiales; Rhizobiaceae. The record is from Rfam.
CAAGUCCACUGCAAUGAAGGAGUAGCGAUCCACAUUGACCCCGGGUCAUGCGCGGGCAGUUGUGAGGCUGUGCGUGAAGUGUUGACAGGGGAGUGUGUAGGCCCGCCAUUGAACCGCGAAAUUGACGCUUCUCGGGUGCCGAUGUUUGUCUUGUGUUGUUGAUUGCCAUUGAGAACUGACUCUGUAUUGGAGUA